GACGAACGCUGGCGGCGUGCUUAACACAUGCAAGUCGAACGGAAAGGCCCUGCUUGCAGGGUACUCGAGUGGCGAACGGGUGAGUAACACGUGGGUGAUCUGCCCUGCACUUCGGGAUAAGCUUGGGAAACUGGGUCUAAUACCGGAUAGGAGCCAUCUUUAGUGUGGUGGUUGGAAAGUUUUUUCGGUGUAGGAUGAGCUCGCGGCCUAUCAGCUUGUUGGUGGGGUAAUGGCCUACCAAGGCGGCGACGGGUAGCCGGCCUGAGAGGGUGUACGGACACAUUGGGACUGAGAUACGGCCCAGACUCCUACGGGAGGCAGCAGUGGGGAAUAUUGCACAAUGGGCGCAAGCCUGAUGCAGCGACGCCGCGUGGGGGAUGAAGGCCUUCGGGUUGUAAACUCCUUUCGCUAGGGACGAAGCUUUUUUGUGACGGUACCUAGAUAAGAAGCACCGGCUAACUACGUG
Molecule: ribosomal RNA, 466 nt
Filed under: uncultured bacterium
Lineage: Bacteria
Description: partial 16S ribosomal RNA
Rfam family: Bacterial small subunit ribosomal RNA
Source: RNAcentral